Long non-coding RNA from Silurus meridionalis, 529 nucleotides. RefSeq lists it as uncharacterized. Lineage: Eukaryota; Metazoa; Chordata; Actinopteri; Siluriformes; Siluridae. The transcript has 3 exons. The record is from RefSeq and is a predicted model, not a curated record.
AUAAUUGGUCGAUAUAAAACUCGUCCCGUUCUUUUGUUGAUGUUCCACGUCGACGUUCCUAAUUAAGAGUUGGCAGGAAACAAAAGCGCUAAGACCAUGCUCCUGGGAUCUCCUGUAUAUUAGCACAGGCAGACACACGUACAGGUUGUUCCCAUUUCUUUACUCGGACGCCCUGAAACUGCUCCCUCUGUGAAUUUAUGUGCCGACGCUGCACUCUAGAAAAUUCCCUGGAUGUUUGACGUGAAUACAAACAUGCUAGAAAUCUGUACAAACAUCACGGCUUCACAUUCCGUCAGCUCAAGUAUGUGGAAGAGGGCAGAUAGCGUUCCUCCAAGUGUGAUAGGCCGGCCUGUGGUGCAGCGUGAAGCAGCUGUACGUGACUCUGUAGAAACGUGUGCUGAUGUGUGAUAGGGCAGUCAGAUAAUGGAUGAGAUCAACUAAGAGUGAAAAACUACAGCAAACAUCUAAUCAAGCGAACAUUAGUUCUGCAUCACUUCUAUGAUUCUAAAAUAAAAGAACAUUUUUUUCA